GGGCCCGCACAAGCGGUGGAGCAUGUGGUUCAAUUCGACGCAACGCGAAGAACCUUACCUGGGUUGGAACCCUCCAGAAGUCCGCAGAGAUGUGGAUGUGCCCGCAAGGGAAUUGGAUGUCCAGGUGCUGCAUGGCUGUCGUCAGCUCGUGUCGUGAGAUGUUGGGUUAAGUCCCGCAACGAGCGCAACCCUUGUCGUUAGUUGCCAGCGGUUCGGCCGGGCACUCUAACGAGACUGCCGGUGUUAAACCGGAGGAAGGUGGGGAUGACGUCAAGUCCUCAUGGCCCUUAUGCCCAGGGCUACACACGUGCUACAAUGACCGGUACAAAGGGUUGCAAACCCGCGAGGGCAAGCCAAUCCCAAAAAACCGGCCUCAGUUCAGAUUGAAGUCUGCAACUCGACUUCAUGAAGUCGGAAUCGCUAGUAAUCCCUGAUCAGCAGGCAGGGGUGAAUACGUUCCCGGGCCUU
RNAcentral lists this ribosomal RNA (468 nucleotides) under uncultured bacterium. Its description in RNAcentral is "bacterial SSU rRNA". It matches the Rfam family "Bacterial small subunit ribosomal RNA", at positions 917 to 1382 of the family's 1533-position model. The record is from RNAcentral.